RNAcentral lists this ribosomal RNA (138 nucleotides) under uncultured eukaryote. RNAcentral describes it as "partial 18S ribosomal RNA". It matches the Rfam family "Eukaryotic small subunit ribosomal RNA", at positions 1299 to 1458 of the family's 1831-position model. The record is from RNAcentral.
UGGUGGAGUGAUUUGUCUGGUUAAUUCCGAUAACGAACGAGACCUUAACCUGCUAAAUAGUCCGGCCGGCUUUGGCUGGUCGCAGACUUCUUAGAGGGACUGUCAGCGUCUAGCUGACGGAAGUUUGAGGCAAUAACA